This 426-nucleotide long non-coding RNA is filed under the name Carassius auratus (goldfish). Its description in RNAcentral is "lncRNA (ENSCARG00000056720.1)". Lineage: Eukaryota; Metazoa; Chordata; Actinopteri; Cypriniformes; Cyprinidae. The record is from RNAcentral.
CGCUAGAGUGAGGCGCCCCUCUUAACUAUCUGUGAAGAAAACAUACGCGAGUUACACACGUGUAGAAUACAAACAUGGGCAAAAGAAGGCGAGGAAAUCAAGAGAUUACAAGUUUAACUAAGAAACAGAAUAAAAAUCUAAAAGAAUCUGGAGAACAGCACCCUAACAGCACUAUUAAUAUGCAUUAAAACUAUUCCGAAGGUGGGCUCAAUCUGUCAGGUACUUGUGCAGCUGCCACAUGUAUUCCAGAUGUUCCAAUCUGACAGCUUAAUGGACCAGGAUGCCAGGUUCCUAUUCUUUGUGGAUAAGAUCCUGCCCCAUUACAGACACUCUUGUCAUGUUGCACACUUUCAUCUAUUUGCCAUCAUGUUUGGAUUUUGUUCACCUGUGAAACUACCUGAAGGAGGAGGACAUCAGUUUCUCUAG